Molecule: long non-coding RNA, 224 nt
Filed under: Ricinus communis (castor bean)
Lineage: Eukaryota; Viridiplantae; Streptophyta; Magnoliopsida; Malpighiales; Euphorbiaceae
Description: long non-coding RNA (RCOM_LNC000374)
Source: RNAcentral
AGAGAUUCUACAUCUUUUAGUCACCUAGAAUACAGACCCAUCACUAGCAUUUCCUUUUGUAUUUUAUGCCCACAUUUUGUCAUCACCUUCUAUCUUCAUCUCCUAGUUAGCAAGCAUCAUUUUCUCUGAUUCUUAUGCUACUCAUCAGCAUCCACAACUCUAUCCAUGCAUCUUUAAGAAAUCAAAACCAGAAUUAGAAAGAGAAGAACAGAUAACUAGCUAGC